UCCUAGCUCCAAGCCCUCCCCCUUACCAGCUGUGUGUGUUGGCUUCCUGAGAUGAAUGGUGGAAAAGGCUCUGGUCCUGACUGUGCUGAACUCAAUGGCGAUACCUCUGGACUCGAGCAGCAUGUCAGUACAGCUUAGCCAUGUGACCCAGAACAUGUCUGUCUACCAAGUUUCUGUAUGUGGGAGGCCUGGACAAUGACGGCCGCAAUUUCCCUCUCCUUAAAUAGAGCUUCAGGGAAAGAAUCCCUCGUUUCAGAUGAGUGGCAGUUACCGUACCUGCUGGGAGCGUUGCAUUGAACCCAGGGACCAGCCAAGAGGAACUAAUGGACCCCGUGGAAGAUCAUUUGAGCCUCAGCUACGGGAAGAGCUGGAUGCAGGCCGGGGAAGCGGAUUGGUGGACUGCACAUUCAUUUAAGGUUGAAAUGCUUAGCAUUGUAAAGGUGACUGUGAAUUUUAAGCUUCAUUCUUUAUUGACCUGGCAGAUGGGAGAGUGCUGUGUCUUGGUGUAAUGAAGCAUUAUGUUGGUACAGUGGAUCUCUGUUCUUCUUGAAGUUCAGUACGACGCAAAGAAAAGUGGAAAGGGCUUGAGAUUUGGAUGCGGAGGUCAGGGAAUGAAGCCUUGGCUGUGCCACUCAUCUGCUUGGAUGCUAA
This 651-nucleotide long non-coding RNA is filed under the name Homo sapiens (human). RNAcentral describes it as "HSALNT0273330". The record is from RNAcentral. Lineage: Eukaryota; Metazoa; Chordata; Mammalia; Primates; Hominidae.